AUUUGUUCCAAGAACUCAAGUGUAAACUCCCUUGUCGUCGCGCCUGUAUCCAUGGUAAUAUAUCCUAGGAUUGACUAGGUCCCUGUUGGACGUGUCUCUCUGAUAAUAGGGAAGCAUAUAUAUGCAUAACUUCCUACAAAAAUAAAGACAGACUUUCAAGAAAAAAAUAAACGUGUUUUGCGCAAAUAAGGAAGAAAAAGAAAAACAAACGUAUAUAUACGCAAACAAUUUUAGGUUGAGAGAAAAUAGACCUUCCUCUCGCCCCUGCGAUGCGAUGGAUACCGAGGGCGCGGAACGCGGCCCUUUCCAAGAGCGCGAAGAACAACGCUACCCGGCAGCAAGGGGCAAAGGGAUCCAGCAUCUUCUUCCCCGCCGCCGGCGAGGGGAACGCGAUGGUUAGGCUUACUGAGGCCGCACGGGUGACGACGAGGAAGAUGAGCGCAGAUCUGGGGAAGCAUACGGCGGCGUCGCCGGCAGGUUCGACGACGGCGGCGAACUGGAUUCCAGAAGCUCCGCGGUUUGAGGUUGGAUUUGUGUUUGGAGGUUCAGAGGGUAGUCUGCACGUACUCGCACUAGUUCUCAGUUGAAUGACAGUUUUUUUUUUCAUAUAUAAGCUACUGCAGUGAAAAUUUAGUGGUCAAAUUAAUUACUCUAAUAUCCAAAUUAAUUGACACAGCCUCUGCACAAUCUAAAUAAUAUUCUAAAGAGUCAAUUGCACUGGUGGUGCUACAACUUAGCGUAAACGAUCACUUUGGUGCUAGAAGUUGUGGUAUGCAUUAAAGUGGUGCAAAAACUUGACAUUAACGUGCAAAUACGGUGCUUAUCUCGUUUAUGUACGGAGUAGGUGCUGACUAGGCACAUGGGGCCCACCGUCAGCCACUCUACCAGAGAGAUGGGGCAUGUGACCUGAUUUUUUCAAAAACACCCUCGAAAUAUUUUUUCAAAAAAAUCCCUGUUGACUGGGAAGAUUUGGUCACCUCUAUGAGAAGUGGGUCCCGCAUGUCACCUGAGACAGAAAACUAAAUGCCAGAUGUGGCCGGUGGGGAUCUAACACACAGCAUCAUCCACGCAAAUGAGCUGGCAAACCACUGCACCCAUUAAGUUUUCUUCCGCCAGUACGGGUAAAAACGUCAUAUGUAUUUUUAAUCACAGCGCAGGCGGAGGUUAAACGGGCUGCAGAUCUUGCGGCUUCUUCUGUACCUGUUAGUUUAUUUAUUUUUCUGUAGAAAGUAUCAAAAUUAUAAGUGUUUUAAAAAAUCUAAAUUAUAAUCUCAGUAAUAAACAUAACAAACGAAUAUUUGUGUUUAUAAAUAUUGUACAUGCAAACAGAAUAAAUUAUUUUAUAAAAUUGUUCAUAUAUUAUUUAAAAAAUACUAUGAAUUAUAACAGUGUUUGCAUAAUUUAGAAUUUAAAAAGUUAAAUUACAAUUCAUAAAAUUAUUUUAGGUAUACAACAUUUCAAUGAUUAUAUGCACGUUUGUAUAGUUCAAUGUUUUUAUAACUAAAAAUAAUGAUAAUUUAUAAUUUAAACUGCUCAUAUGAAUAUUCAUUUUCUAUAAUUUAAAUAUAAGCUGUGACUGUAUAAUAUUUAUGUAUUCGUUAAAUAUUUUAAUUUUAUUAAAUGUCUGUAUUAACUAAAUAUUUUUUAUAUCAUGCGAGGAUGUACAUUUAAAUGUUAUUAUUUACUAAUAAUCAUUUUCAUGUAUAAUAUUUGUAUCACACAAAUAUUUGAACAUAUUUUUUAUUAAUUAUGUUUUACAAAUAAAUUCUAAAAAGGAACAGGUGUAGAAUGGCCGCACUAUCUGCAGCCCAUAAAAGAUCCUCAUGCUUUCAGUUUAGUACAUAUAGCUUUCUUAUCCAAAUUAAACAAGAGAUCUUGUUGGCGUACUAGUUAGCCUUGUUGUGGCUUCUUGUCGGACAUGGCUUCGAGUCCAGCCGGCCUCACUUUUGAUUUAAUUUUCACUCUUGUCUGAUAGGUGGGACCCACUCCUCAUAGAGGUGAAAAAAAUGCCACUCUCCCAUGUCAACAGGGGCUUUUUUGUGAAAAUGUAUAUUUUGAGGGUGUUUUCCAAAAAAUCAGGCCACACACCACUUUUCUCUCGUGCAAUGGCUGACAGCGGGCCUAACGCGCCUAGUCAGCACCUACUCCGUAAAUAAACGAGAUAAGCACCGUAUUUGCACGUUAAUGCCAAGUUUUUGCACCACUUUAAUGUACACCACAACUUCUAGCACCAAAGUGACCGUUUACGCCAAAUUGUAGCACCACCUGUGUAAUUGACUCUAUUCUAAAGAAUAUUUGCAUUCUCCAAUCUCACUAGUAUCAAAAGCUAUGGGAAAAAACCGACUCCCUCUCAUGUGCCGCCACCUAGGCCCCACCAUUGUCGUGGGUAUCUACCUCAUGGUGGCGGCGGCCCCCUACUGCCUAAAGGUAAUGGGGGGGAGGCCCCCUUUUCGUGGUGGCGUCGGUGCCUCCCGGGUUCGGAUUGGGGUGGCGAUGGUUAUUGCCCAACAUAGGCAUGUCGGGGCGGCGGCCACGGCAUUGUAAUGGCGGGGAUGUGUGCGCACUAAUGAUCCUGGCAUUGUGGCUGCAGACUAGGGUCCAAGCCCAAAUCUAGCAAGGUUGGUGGCGUCCGUGGCACAGGUUGGCUGGGACAUAUCGAUUCCGACCGGCGCCUGUUGAUACAUCGUCUUUUCUGGUGUGCUAUGAAUCAUAAGCCAAUCAGAGCAUCAUGCUCGGAUUUGGUGGAUGUAGGCUGUCCAUGUGCUGUGACGAUUUGGCAACCCGAGUUUCAAGGCUCUCGCGCAAGUUUAGUCUUCAACGAAGGUCAAUGCCGGCAAUGGUGGUACGCGAGGGCGUCUUUCUCCCACUCAAAGGCAUUGUCGAAGAGUGCUUCAUCUCCGAUCGAUUGUUUUUGUUCGACAUUACGGUUGUCGUAAAUGCUGAUUGGUGUGGCUGGACCCUUACCCGUGGUUUGGUUGGGUGGUCAUGGGCAGUUCUAAGUGAAAGCUUGAAUCUUAGAUAUGGGCGACCCUGACGCGCCCCAUAGGUUGCAUCUCCGUAGAACUCGCCUACUACCCUCCAGAUAGUGGUCAUGUUGGUGGUCGAGCUCGAGUUGGGUCGACGUAGUUUUCUUGUUUUCUUUGUUCUUUGUUGCAUUUUAUCUUAUUUUUUCUUAUAAACCAGAUCAACUCUUUGUUUUUUGCCUUUUCCUAUCUAUAUGAAAUUACUGGAGUUUACUGCCCUUGAUUUCAAUUCAAAAAUCUCUCUAGAAAAGGGGGGCCAGGCUGCUCCAAUUUGAGGCUAGCUAAGAGUUUCUCUCAAGCGGUUCCCUCAAAAAUCUUUCCCUAUAAGUGUGUUUAAGGGCUAUCCCAAUAAUUUUAUUGGGUUUCACGGCUGUGCGGCUGUAGUUAGUAUUCCCCUAUACACCUGUCAGUGGUUAAAAUUUCUCUCUCUCUCUAGCGUGGCUGAGGUGGUGCGGCGCUGGUCCGGCGGUCAUUGGCCGUGGCGCGCUGAUGUGACAUGGUUGAAAAAUAUAGAAGAGACUUGCUUGCUCCCCGCGCGUGCGCGCAUCCGUGCUUCCGCGUAUGUGGCUUGAUUUGAUUGGAAAAAAUAUGGCACGGCCCCACCCUCUUAAAAUCAGGAGGAAAAAUGAUUAAAUUAGAAAGAAAAAAGGAAAAAAAAAGCCAUGGGAUGAAGUGAAAGCACGGAUGGGAGCAUAAGCCGGAUCCAAAAAAUAUAUAGGGAGAUAUUGCAUCUCUCCCUUUGAGAAGAGAUACGAUGUUUCUUGGGAGAUCCUAGAUUCUUCGGGUUUAGGGAAACUGCUGGAGCAGAUUUUUGCUUCAACUCUUCCGAUUUGUUUUCUUUAAUAGAGGAACAGUUGAAUAUGCUCUUAGGAAAUAAGCCUGCCAGUGACAACACUGCUGGAGCAGGUUUUGCUUCAACUCUUCCGAUUUGUUUUUUAAUAGAUGGACAGUUGGAGAUGCUCUUAGGAAAUAAGCCGGCCAGCGACAAGGCAGAUUGAGGCAAAUAAUCUACCUAGGGCAUAUCUAAACAUACCCUAAUUAUUGCACAUCUAAAUGACCCAACCACACUACAAAGAAAAAGAAAAAAAAUGCCUGCACAAAUCUUUAUGUAAAAUCAGUGGUAUAUGACUUAGAUGUGCAAUACUUAAGGCAAAUCUAGAUAUGCUUUAGUAAAACUGAUAAACAAUUGGUUACAUUUGGUCACGGAACCGGUGAUAGAGAACGGGAGUUUAAAGAACAGAAAACAUUUAACCUUUUUUUUUGGUGGGGGAGAGAUCAAUUUCUACAGCCCUCUUCUGUGGCCCUGUCCCGUGUUAAUUCACACAGGAUGAGAGAGCUGGUCAAGCUUUCGGUGCUAAUUGUCACCACACGCAUCAGAUACGCGUUUGAGACUAAUAAUCAUCUUCCAAGCCGAAUUCCCCAACAAACUCCCACCUAUGAACCUCCACCCCUUGUUCCAGACAUUGCCAAACACGAUGUAGGUAAAAAUUAAGCAAGAGUAUGCGUACACUUUGGGCUAACCUUCGGUGCAGGGGGGAUGGAUUGAAGACCUGCUGCUUGCGGGAAGAGAAACUUUGUAGCGGAUCUGGCCCGGGACCAAUCGGCCGGCUUGCUUGUCGACCAGAAAGCUUCUGGAGUCCACGAGCUCGUCGAACGGAAAGAGAUAUGGAGCAGAUCCAGCGAGCUUGUUGCGCUCGUUGACG
This 4726-nucleotide long non-coding RNA is filed under the name Triticum aestivum (bread wheat). Its description in RNAcentral is "long non-coding RNA (TAES_LNC011208)". Lineage: Eukaryota; Viridiplantae; Streptophyta; Magnoliopsida; Poales; Poaceae. The record is from RNAcentral.